RNAcentral lists this ribosomal RNA (489 nucleotides) under uncultured bacterium. RNAcentral describes it as "partial 16S ribosomal RNA". It matches the Rfam family "Bacterial small subunit ribosomal RNA", at positions 30 to 507 of the family's 1533-position model. The record is from RNAcentral.
UUGAACGCUGGCGGCAGGCCUAACACAUGCAAGUCGAACGGUAACAGGAAGAAGCUUGCUUCUUUGCUGACGAGUGGCGGACGGGUGAGUAAUGUCUGGGAAACUGCCUGAUGGAGGGGGAUAACUACUGGAAACGGUAGCUAAUACCGCAUAACGUCGCAAGACCAAAGAGGGGUACCUUCGGGCCUCUUGCCAUCGGAUGUGCCCAGAUGGGAUUAGCUAGUAGGUGGGGUAACGGCUCACCUAGGCGACGAUCCCUAGCUGGUCUGAGAGGAUGACCAGCCACACUGGAACUGAGACACGGUCCAGACUCCUACGGGAGGCAGCAGUGGGGAAUAUUGCACAAUGGGCGCAAGCCUGAUGCAGCCAUGCCGCGUGUAUGAAGAAGGCCUUCGGGUUGUAAAGUACUUUCAGCGGGGAGGAAGGGAGUAAAGUUAAUACCUUUGCUCAUUGACGUUACCCGCAGAAGAAGCACCGGCUAACUCCGUG